GUUGAACGCUGGCGGCAGGCCUAACACAUGCAAGUCGAACGGUAACAGGAAACAGCUUGCUGUUUCACUGACGAGUGGCGGACGGGUGAGUAAUGUCUGGGAAACUGCCUGAUGGAGGGGGAUAACCACUGGAAACGGUAGCUAAUACCGCAUAACGUCGCAAGACCAAAGAGGGGGACCUUCGGGCCUCUUGCCAUCGGAUGUGCCCAGAUGGGAUUAGCUAGUAGGUGGGGUAACGGCUUACCUAGGCGACGAUCCCUAGCUGGUCUGGGAGGAUGACCAGCCACACUGGAACUGAGACACGGUCCAGACUCCUACGGGAGGCAGCAGUGGGGAAUAUUGCACAAUGGGCGCAAGCCUGAUGCAGCCAUGCCGCGUGUAUGAAGAAGGCCUUCGGGUUGUAAAGUACUUUCAGCGGGGAGGAAGGGAGUAAAGUUAAUACCUUUGCUCAUUGACGUUACCCGCAGAAGAAGCACCGGCUAACACCGUGCCAGCCGCCGCGGUAA
This 506-nucleotide ribosomal RNA is filed under the name uncultured bacterium. RNAcentral describes it as "partial 16S ribosomal RNA". It matches the Rfam family "Bacterial small subunit ribosomal RNA", at positions 28 to 523 of the family's 1533-position model. The record is from RNAcentral.